AUCUGUAUAGUAUAAAAGUAUAUAUGACUUCCAAUCAUAAGGGCUAUUAAUCAUAAUAGUACAGAUA
RNAcentral lists this transfer RNA (67 nucleotides) under Medetera sp. Qilemoge-2020. RNAcentral describes it as "tRNA-Gly". It matches the Rfam family "tRNA". Rfam says of the family: Transfer RNA (tRNA) molecules are approximately 80 nucleotides in length. Their secondary structure includes four short double-helical elements and three loops (D, anti-codon, and T loops). The record is from RNAcentral. Lineage: Eukaryota; Metazoa; Arthropoda; Insecta; Diptera; Dolichopodidae.